UCCCCGGUGGUCCAGUGGUGAAGACUCUGUGCUUCUACCGCAGGGGGCGUGGGUUCGAUCCCUGGUCAGGGAA
This 73-nucleotide transfer RNA is filed under the name Bos taurus (domestic cattle). It matches the Rfam family "tRNA". Rfam says of the family: Transfer RNA (tRNA) molecules are approximately 80 nucleotides in length. The record is from Rfam by way of RNAcentral. Lineage: Eukaryota; Metazoa; Chordata; Mammalia; Artiodactyla; Bovidae. RNAcentral also lists the same sequence under 2 other names.